This 2580-nucleotide unclassified non-coding RNA is filed under the name Mizuhopecten yessoensis (Yesso scallop). RNAcentral's name for it is "uPF0769 protein C21orf59 homolog, transcript variant X3". The record is from RNAcentral. Lineage: Eukaryota; Metazoa; Mollusca; Bivalvia; Pectinida; Pectinidae.
UACUUCCGUGCACAUGCUAGAAUUUGUUUUGACCUGUCAUACUUCGUUCGAGAAAAUUCAGUAAGCAGAAGAAGCUACAGGUUUGAUUGCCAAACAUGGUGAAGUUACACAUCAAAAGAGCCGACGAGAGUCAGUUCCUGUAUGAGACCACAGUUGAGAUGCCGGUGGAUGACUUGCUGAAGGAUUUGACAGCCAUUUACAAUGGUCGACUCAAGGUCCACAGAAUCUGUGCAGAAAUUGAGGAAUUGGCUAAGCAUGGUAUAACCCUGCCCCCAAACAUGAUGGGCCUGACAGAUGAUCAGAUUGUGGAUCUCAAACUGAAGGAUGAAUGGGCAGAUAAAUGUGAACCUAGUGGGGGCCACAAGUUCAACAAGGAUCCAAUUGGCCGCAGAAAUGGAAUGGCUCCAAAUGAAAAGAUGGCUGAAGUUUUGACAAAAACAGUAAAAGAAGCAAAAGACAUGAUCAGCAAGAAAAAAGUUCCAAUGGACCAGUAUGUGACCCAGGCCACUGUGAAGGAAGCCCUGGACAUCCUGCGUGGAGCAUCAAUGAUUGUAUAUCCCAUGAACCUGCCUCCCCACGACAACAUACGCAUGGAGUUUGAAAACAAUGAGGACUUAGAAGGAACUCAGGCUUCCACUGAAGUGUUACCUGAAGACAACACAUCAGUAUGGUUCUCUGGCAAGGAGAUGUUGAGAGGCAAACUUUUGAAGGAUUUUGUUGGCAAAAAUGAGAAAACGAAGAUAAUAGCCAAGCUGCAAAAGAGAGGCCAGGGUGUGCCCCAGAGAGAGCAGGUUGUCAAUGAGGAGGAGCAGAAAAAGAUGAUGGCUUACUACUACAAAAAACAGGAGGAAUACAAGAAAUUACAAGCUGAAUCAGAAGAUGCUUACAUGGAUCAGGAGUGGGCAGACAAUGGUGCUCUGAAGCGGAACUUAAACGGGGUCCGAGAUAUCAAAUGGGGUGGCCCUCGGUGAUAAAUAUCACAACAUAUUUCUUUUUAAAUGCAAAUUGAACAAAACUAAUUUAUGGAAAGAUCUGAUGACCUGUAUUUCAAGGAAAAUAAAAUGAAUGUAAAAAUAUUUUUAAAUAUUUUCAGAUAUUACAAAAAGUUGUUUAAACUAACAGUGGAUUUGUUAACUUAAAAAAGAUUAAAUUGAUUGAAGAUUUCUCAUGAUGAAGAAAAUACUGGAUUUAUUGAAAGGAUCAGUUUAGUUUCAGUUCCUUCUUUGUGACAGUGUGUAUAAUCUACACAUAUGAUAGGUACCUUGUGCUCUGUGUGAUGUACUCUGUGACAGGUACCUGGAACUCUGUGUGAUGUACUCUGUGACAGGUACCUGGUACUCUGUGUAAUGUACUCUGUGACAGGUACCUGGUACUCUGUGUGAUGUACUCUAGGUACCUGGUACUCUGUGUGAUGUACUCUGUGACAGGUACCUUGUGCUCUGUGUGAUGUACUCUGUGACAGGUACCUGGUACUCUGUGUGAUGUACUCUAUGACAGGUACCUGGUACUCUGUGUGAUGUACUCUGUGACAGGUACCUUGUGCUCUGUGUGAUGUACUCUAUGACAGGUACCUGGUACUCUGUGUGAUGUACUCUAGGUACCUGGUACUCUGUGUGAUGUACUCCAUGACAGGUACCUGGUACUCUGUGUGAUGUACUCUAUGACAGGUACCUGGUACUCUGUGUGAUGUACUCUGCAACAGGUACCUGGUACUCUGUGUGAUGUACUCUGUGACAGGUACCUGGUACUCUCUGAGAAGUCAUUUUUCAAUUAUGACCACAUUACCAAUGCAUUAUGUCCCUGAGCUACCUGAUUUUACCGUACAUGUCAUUGCUGUUGAGCAAAGAUCGUUUCAUUACAGUAGUGAAUGGGCAGAGAUGGUAACACCAAUUUGUUGUGUAUUUAUUGAAAUGUUUAUUUUCACCAUACAUAUGUUUCAUGUAUCAAAUCUGAUGUGUUCUGUUAAAUUCAGCAUUUUAAUCGUGUAAAUUUAUACAUUUUUCUAUGUAUAUAUUUAUGGAAAUUUCUAUUACUAUACCAAUAAAUAUUGAUGAGCUGGAUCAUACCAAUAUAUAAUAUUGAUGUAAAAUGUGUAGUGAUUGCCAAUAAUAUUUUGAUAUGUAUGCAACCAUACUUAUUUUGAGGAUUAAAUGAGAAAUUUUUGAAACUGAAAAUAUUCAGAACAUGUACAAUUUUAUUAGUCAAGAGAAGAAUUGUUUUAAGCAAGCUGUUUGUCUUAACCAACGAAGCAUCCAAAUUUGGACUAAUUUCUUUUUAAUGUCCAAGAUCCAUCACUGUUUUUAGAAUGUCUGUACAAUGCCAACAUUCCGUCCAUUAUAACCAUAUUUAUAAAAUAGAAUGCCGUGUGAAUGGAUUUGUUACAAUUCUCACAUUUCUGUCUCUGAUAGAUACUGUACAUACAACCACAAAGUGAAAAAUAUUUUAUUGAAUUUUUAUACAUAAAAUUUGUAUACUAUUCCAAAUCAUUAUCAUUUUCAUUGUAAAUCAGUCAAGAAAGAAGUAUAUAUGUGUAUAGUUUGCUGAAUGUAGGAAUGGAUGCGAAUUAAAAAUAUAAAUCAA